Molecule: long non-coding RNA, 1546 nt
Organism: Girardinichthys multiradiatus
Lineage: Eukaryota; Metazoa; Chordata; Actinopteri; Cyprinodontiformes; Goodeidae
Exons: 3
Source: RefSeq, a predicted model, not a curated record
UUCUAUGUGUUUAUUUAUGUUAGAUAUUUUGUUCUCCCUCUUGUUAGGUCAGCUUUAGUUAUUGUUUACAUCUUUGUUUGUCCUCAUGUUCCCUGCUUGGUUCUAGUUAAUUCAGUCAGUGUGGUUUUAGGUUUGUUUACUUUUGUAAUCAGGGUUUCCUUAUGGGUUUUUUGUUUAUACUUAGGUUGCCAGUUCUUAGGUUGUUGUUGUUGUUGUUCUUCUGUUUCCUCCAGUUUCUCUGUUUCUUUCAGUUCUUGGUUAUUCUAGAUUUCUUAUGCUUCUUUUGGUUAUUUUAUAUUUGUCUAUGGUUUUGCUUAGGUCUGUAUCUCCUUAUUGUUAUUAGUCCUUUUCCUCAUGUUUUAGUCUUCAUAUUAGGUUCACCUGCUCCCUCUGUCUCCCCUCAACCAUGUCACACCUGUUCCCUGUUUCUUUGAUUAGCUGCCCUUUGUUACCCUCUCAUGUCUCUCUGUAUAUUAGUUGGUCUGUGUUCUUUGUUCCCCGCUGGUUCCUUCUGUACGUUCACACUCUGUUCGGCCCGUUCCCUACACCAGGACUAAGUUCCGUGUUUGCUUCGUUCCUGCAAAGAGUACUCAUGUCUCUGACGGGGUCACAGCUGUAUCCAUUUUACUGAACUGGGUUGCUCAGAAGGAUGAAGCUGGACUCGCCCUUGCGAAAUGUACAAUGGCAGUGUUUGUCAUCAGAUGGCGAAGAGGACACUCUACAAGCGCCAUAUGACAUUGGGAUUGUCAUUGAAGGUGUGAAAGUCCUUAAUGAGUUGCCAUCAAUCGCACAUGCAUGUGCUAUGGUAUUUGGCUUGAUCUAUACGCUCAACUUGAGCUAUCCUGUAGAGCUCAAAUACACCUUUGAUGCACUGCAAAAACUUCAUGGAGAUAGAACCAAAGAAAAGGACACGUAGAGUCUGUAGUCUCAGUAUCAAGCUCUAAGCUUUAGAUCAUUCACAGAGACAUUUGGACUCUGCCUUUUGUCUUUUAUAGUUUAUUUGCAUUCACAUACACUCUAGGGAAGUGUUAAAUAAUUUUUGUCAGUUGCAUCGAGAAGGAACAGACCUUUAAAGACAAACUAAGUAUCUGUCUUCUUUUUUUUAAUUGUUAAAAUGGUUCUGUCUGUCAUUCAUCUUAGACAUGUUUGCACGGUGUUCUAAAUGUUAUUGUUAAAGCUGUUACAUUACCAAUCUCAACUUUGUGUGAGUGAGAUGUUCAAAUUGAGUGUAUUUAUGAAGAAGUGUGACAACAAGUUUAUUGAUGAAGGUAGGGUAGGUAUUGGAAGGACAAUCACUUCGCCUAAUGUUUGGUGUAUUUUUAUUUUAUUUCCAUUUUUUUAGCAAGUACUGUGUAAAUAACACGGAAGUGCUUUACUUUUUAUUGUACUUUUUUUUGUACAUGAAAAAGUAUUUGUUCAAAAAACACCAUAAUAUAUGGGGAGACAUUAUCUUUAUUUCUAGCAUGUUGAUUUUGAAAAUAUCUUGGUUUUAAGAAAUUCUUUGUUUUUUGUAAAAUGAGAGCUUUGUGAAUUUGAAGAAAUAAAG